AUCUUCAUGCUCGUAGAUGUGAGCCUGAGCCUGAGGCAGCUGUGGAUGAGUGGGAAGGGUGUUGCCAUAUUUAUGUCUGGUGCCUUCCUUGCAUGACAAUAAACACACACUCCCAUUUUCUAGCCAUCUUUUUCCGCUUGUCUUGCUAUCAUGGAGUAAAGUCACCAUAAGCAUCAACUUUCAGGAAAACUCUUAUUUAUGCAAAAGAUAUUUUAUUCCCAUAAAAGCCAAACCAAAAAAAGUAAUUAUAUAAAAGUCAAAGCACAGUAAAAUCUCUAAAUCCAUGGAUCCAUGGCCCGAUUUCACAGCUCUCACCAGGGACCGACUAGGGCCCCACUAGGUCCAGAUUCAUUUCUCUUUCCCGUUUCAUCCUGUUACUGCUUUUAAUCGCUUAUCUCCAAGCUCCGUCCCAGAGUAUAACAGUUAAGGUGACAAUCUGUCUGCCACCUUGUGGUUAGAAACAUAAGUGUUGUCCCUUAGGUUCCUUGAAUCUAGAGAAUUUGGAAAAGUUUACACUUGACUAUCAGGGUAAUAAAAACCAUAAAGCUUAUAAUUAAUGGCAAGAACAGAUGUCAUGUAUUAGACACUACAAGCCAAGCAAAACGUGAAGCUCUCUAUAUGGAGUAAUGCAUCUAUUUCUCAAAACAGCUUUACAAGACAGACACUGUUACCUCCAUUUCCUGGUGAAGCAACUGAAGCUCAGACAAGUUAAGAAGAGUGUUUAGAGUCAGGGAAAAUGAGCGGGCAAGGCCCUCAAGUGUGUCUACCUCUGGAGCUGAGCUCUUGGUGUAGCCAUUGCACCAUCCUGUUUCUCAGUCUCUCUCAUCCCAAUCCAAUUUCAUCCAAUGCUCAAAUAUGUCUACCAUGCCACUGUCAAUGGACCAUCUGCCCUUCCUGUGAAGGGGAACUUACUACCGCUGAGGCACUCCAUUCCAUAGUAACUUAGUUCUGCAACUGUUAUACCAACAAAUUUAAAAUCACAUCAUUGCUUUUACAUUUUUUUAAAAAGGAUAUCAUGCCCCUUUGCCCCUUGAUCCCUCCCCACCCCGACAAAGCAAUCCUAGUCCGUGAACAGUCUCUAAAUGACAGGGUUUUGCAUCUUUCUAUCACCCUGGUUUCUCUCCUUUGAACAGGCCCCAGGUCAUCCCUACUCCCUCUUAAAAUGUAGAGUUUGGAACCCACAGCACAGGUGGAGCAAUAGUAUUACCUUCGUCUUUCUAGUUCUUAUUCUUCUAGUGCUGCCUAAAUUUUGUUUAGUUUUCACAUUAUUGGGUUAUUACCUUGGGAAGUGCAUUUUAAUCUAUAUAUGAUUAAAUAAGAUAGAUUUAGAAAUAACAGCUGAAUACAUAGAGCUUCAAGAAACAUUUGUUAAAUUCUUUGAUAUUCACUUUAUCUUAUUUCAGAGUAAUUAAUUGCCUCAAUGUCUAUUUGCACUUAAGCUUGCUGAUGAAUUUACUCCUUGACCUCAUAGUCCAAAUUUGGCCAAGGAUUUUUGCUGGCCCUUUUUUUUUUAAAGCCCUUUCCAUAGAGGAAAAAUAAGCAAACAGACCCUGCUGUGACGCGCAUGGCCGAGCUGUGUCCUGGCGGAAGAGGAUGCAUCCUGUGCUCAUUCCUCUCCUGAUUCAUCGCCAGGCUGCAUAUUUGACCACAGAAGACACUGAGGAACUCUGCCCACUCCAAGUUUAGCCUUGAUCUUGGACUCCUCUAAAAGAGCAUGAGAAGGAAGCUUUUAUAGCAUGAAUGAAGAAGCAAGGCAAAUAAAAUAUUUGAUUGGUUGCAGUGGAGCAGUAGCCUUAUUUGGAUCAUUCCAAUGGAAAGUCCAUUGUCAGAGGAAUAAAAGCACUCCUAAUGGAACUGGAGCACAGAGGGUGAAUAGAGCUUAUAGCUUCCAUAUAGGCCAGCUGUGGGAUCUCAACAUCACAUCUCUGAGGCUGAACCCAGUGGAAAGCUCUGAUGAAGACUGAGAAGAUGCUCUUCUCUUCUCUCAUUAUGUGGCCCUUGAUCAAGCCUCGUGCUGUAGCUACCCCCAACCCCAGAAGGUUAGGACCACCUGCCUGCCAACCACAGCCUUGCCUAAUUUCUGCUCAACCUUGUGGCUCAAUCAUCCUAUCAAGAGAAGCCAUUUACAAUCCUCCAUAGAAAUAUUUUCCU
Sapajus apella (tufted capuchin) is the source of this 2151-nucleotide long non-coding RNA. RefSeq lists it as uncharacterized. The record is from RefSeq and is a predicted model, not a curated record. NCBI's taxonomy places the organism in Eukaryota, Metazoa, Chordata, Mammalia, Primates, Cebidae. The transcript is spliced from 5 exons.